This 426-nucleotide ribosomal RNA is filed under the name uncultured Actinomycetes bacterium. Its description in RNAcentral is "bacterial SSU rRNA". It matches the Rfam family "Bacterial small subunit ribosomal RNA", at positions 233 to 671 of the family's 1533-position model. The record is from RNAcentral. Lineage: Bacteria; Bacillati; Actinomycetota; Actinomycetes.
GCGGCCUAUCAGCUUGUUGGUGAGGUAAUGGCUCACCAAGGCGACGACGGGUAGCCGGCCUGAGAGGGUGGACGGCCACACUGGGACUGAGACACGGCCCAGACUCCUACGGGAGGCAGCAGUGGGGAAUAUUGCGCAAUGGACGAAAGUCUGACGCAGCGACGCCUCGUGAGGGACGAAGGUCUUCGGAUUGUAAACCUCUUUCAGCAGGGACGAAGCGAAAGUGACGGUACCUGCAGAAGAAGCACCGGCUAACUAUGUGCCAGCAGCCGCGGUAAUACAUAGGGUGCAAGCGUUGUCCGGAUUUAUUGGGCGUAAAGAGUUCGUAGGCGGUUUUUCGCGUCGGAUGUGAAAACUCAGGGCUCAACCCUGAGCCUGCAUUCGAUACGGGAAGACUCGAGGACGGCAGGGGAGACUGGAAUUCCU